UAAACAGAUAAUUUUGAAGCACUUGUGCAAUUACCCCCGAUAAUAUAAUCAGUAGACGUCAUCUUAUUGUCUCAGCGUCAACGAUAAAAUAUAGAUGUAGAUAGAGAGUAAUCCCUGCUGUCUAGAUAUAAUUGAAAACUAUCAAUAAUUCAUCAAAAAAAAUUAUCUAUCUGGAGGAUUACGAUUGAAGAGUUUUUCGAUGAAAGCGACAUUUCGUCGUGACGUCAUAGCGCUAGUUCGUUCGAUUGGAAGGCAAUAUGGGAAUACGGCUUGUCGUUGAAUUGCCUGGAUGUUUGACUGUUCAGAAUUCGUGCUGUGCUUUAUUAAUAAUAGAAGCAACACAAAAACAAUAUUACAAAUGCUGUAUCGUGUCAAUGUGUCCUAGUACAACUUUUAAAACGCCAGAUAAGCUAUUUAUUCGUGUACCAUGAGAUAAAAGCUGGCGUUUAAAGUGGUGAAAGGCAUGCAGAAGAGCUCACAAGGAUAUUUCUGAGAAGACUACUGUCUAUGUAUGUGAAGAUCAUUUUAAUCAGGAAGAAGAUAUGGAUAACUAUGUUAAAUUCAAGUUAAUGGGAGGUCUGACAAAUGCCAAAUCACUUUUACUGAUGUGUUUUAGUUUUUACUAGCAUGAAAACAAUAUGUUCUUAUUUUUUAUUAAAUCACUUACAUUUUGAUCAAUAGGUACUGUUUGAAUUUUGAAAAUUAUAGCCAUUAAAACUGCAAUCUAACAUUUUAUCGAUUUAUAUAACUAAAACUAUUGACUAUUUUGUCCGGAAAUCUACCUGUUAGCUUUAACACCGCUUCUUCAGCUUCUUCUAACUUCAGCAGGAGUAAAACUUUCGGUGUUUUUAAUGUAAGAUGCCACCAUUAACAUAUCCAUCAGUGGUAAAAUGACAGAUUAUCCUUUUUUACAAAACCUGGGUCAGUCAUUUUGAAAGAUUUUACUUUUCUCCUGAUACACUAUAGAAACGUUUUAACGACAAUAUCAAGACUGAGAUUACAUGUUUACAUGCUCUGCAUUGCAGCCGCCGCGACCAAAUAGCUAGUUGACGUCACAACUGGUCCCAGCCAAUGACGACGCGUUACAAGUGUGAUUUGAAUUAUAUAGUUUUUUAUUGCUUAUAUUAAUUACAUAGAAAUAAAAAAUGAGUUUUUUGGUAAA
Molecule: long non-coding RNA, 1162 nt
Organism: Dendroctonus ponderosae (mountain pine beetle)
Lineage: Eukaryota; Metazoa; Arthropoda; Insecta; Coleoptera; Curculionidae
Exons: 2
Source: RefSeq, a predicted model, not a curated record